RNAcentral lists this ribosomal RNA (492 nucleotides) under uncultured bacterium. RNAcentral describes it as "partial 16S ribosomal RNA". It matches the Rfam family "Bacterial small subunit ribosomal RNA", at positions 28 to 507 of the family's 1533-position model. The record is from RNAcentral.
GAUGAACGCUAGCUACAGGCUUAACACACGCAAGUCGAGGGGAAACGGCAUUGAGUGCUUGCACUCUUUGGACGUCGACCGGCGCAAGGGUGAGGAACGCGUAUCCAAUCUUCCCAUUACUGUGGGAUAACCUGCCGAAAGGCAGACUAAUACCGCAUAGUCUUCGAUGACGGCAUCAGAUUUGAAGUAAAGAUUUAUCGGUAAUGGAUGGGGAUGCGUCUGAUUAGCUUGUUGGCGGGGUAACGGCCUACCAAGGCGACGAUGAGUAGGGGUGCUGAGAGGAAGCUCCCCCACAUUGGAACUGCGACCCGGUCCAAACUCCUACGGGAGGCAGCAGUGUCGAAUAUUAGUCAAUGGACGGAAGUCUGACCCAGCCAAGUAGCGUGCAGGAUUCCGGCCCUCUGGGUUGUCAACUGCUUUUGUAUGAGGUUAAAGUUAGGGACGUGUCCCUAUUUGCAGGUACCUAACGAAUAAGGACCGGCUAAUUCCGUG